UUCCUGUGUCUUCAUUGGGUAUCCUUUUACCAAAAUGGGUUAUAAGCUUUAUGACCUUACUUCGAAGAAAUGUCUUAUGUUAUGUGUGUAUAUAUGUAUUUUAUGAUCUCACUUUCAAAGAAUACUUUGUCUCCAGGGAUGUUAUAUUUGAUGAAACCUACUUUCCUUUUAAAAAUGUUUCAUCUCCUGCUCCUUCUUCCUUUCCCUCUGUUCCUCCUCUUGAGCCUUCCUUCUCUGAUGCUGACUUGUUCAUACCUGUUUGUUCCUCUCCUCCUCCUCCUUCUGCCACCACUUCUCCUUCUUCUAAUCCAGCCUCCAUUCCUCCCUUCAAUCCUGAUAUUUCUCCUCCUAAUUUUCCUUCUUCCACAUCUGCUCCUGCUCCCAGAAAAUCUGGAAGACAGCAUAAUCCUCCCUCUUAUCUUAAGGACUAUAUCUGUCAACUUCCUGCCUUUUCAGGCUCUUCUUCUUCUUCUUCUCUGGAUUCUGAACCUCUCUAUUACUCUCAAGCUGCAUCUGUUCCAGUAUGACAUGAUGCCAUGAGAAAGGAGUUUGAUGCCUUGGAUGCCAACCAUACCAAGCUGUAUCGUUCCAGUAUGGCAGGAUGCCAUGAGAAAGAAGUUUGAUGCCUUGGAUCCCAACCAUACCUGGGAUGUUGUUCCUCUUCCUCCUGGUAAGAAUCCCAUAGGUUGCAAAUAGGUUUAUAAUAAUAUAAGGCUGAUGGCAGUGUCGAGAGGCAUAAAGCUAGGCUUGUGAUUAGAGGUGAUACUCAGGUUGAAGGAGUUGAUUUCGCUGACACUUUUUCUCAUGUGGUUAAGAUGUCCACUGUUAAGUAUAUUAUUGCUGUGGCUGUUAAGAAUAAUUGGAAUUUAUUUCAACUUGAUGUUAUCAAUGAUUUCUUACAUGGUGAUUUGGAUGAGGAGGUAUAUAUGAAGCUCCCUCCAGGUUUGAC
Molecule: long non-coding RNA, 949 nt
Filed under: Nicotiana benthamiana
Lineage: Eukaryota; Viridiplantae; Streptophyta; Magnoliopsida; Solanales; Solanaceae
Description: long non-coding RNA (NBEN_LNC005704)
Source: RNAcentral